AGCCGUGCAAUAAUUACAGGAGAUUGUAAGCUACUAAUGAGAUACUUCAUUACUUCUUUGUUUAGUUUGGAUGGAUGCUCCCCUAGCCUCCCAUCAGAUUGCGACCAUGAAACAAAUUAAAACGUUGACCAAUGCUGCUGGAAUUGUCCAUAUGGGACCUUUGUCAGGCGAAGCGGGAAGAUGUGGAGUAGUUAAUCCCAACAUUGUGUAGUUUUGCUCUUAGUUUAGAAAUCCAUGUACAUGCUUGUGUGGUUUCCUAGUGUUUUAUGAGAAGCUAGUACUUCGAAACGUGUACCGCAUAUAUGUUCUUCUGAGUUCGAGUCAUGUUAGGCUGUCAGUUGUUUUCUAAACACAGCCUUCUGUAAGUUAGAUGAAAUAACUAAUUAAUGGUUUUUUAGAAAACGGAAUACCGGUCUCUGCGACAUGAAACAACUGAUCUGACCUGAUACUUUCCGUUCACUCUCUUUACUGGACAUAAUAAUAUCCCAACCUCCAGAACAAUUACAAAUCUCAACCGG
RNAcentral lists this long non-coding RNA (518 nucleotides) under Setaria viridis. Its description in RNAcentral is "long non-coding RNA (SVIR_LNC001347)". The record is from RNAcentral. Lineage: Eukaryota; Viridiplantae; Streptophyta; Magnoliopsida; Poales; Poaceae.